RNAcentral lists this long non-coding RNA (297 nucleotides) under Homo sapiens (human). RNAcentral's name for it is "HSALNT0251153". Lineage: Eukaryota; Metazoa; Chordata; Mammalia; Primates; Hominidae. The record is from RNAcentral.
CACAAUAUCUCAGGAGUGUGGGAUGAGGAUACAGCAACUGCCAGGGUGGGGCACUCUGAGUGUUCUCAAUGGAUUGUUAUGUCCUUGGUUUUUAAUUUGGGGAGGGGUCAAAAUGUUGCCUGUUGUCUUGUAUGUGCUGCCUACAACCCAUUUGGAAUAUAGAGGGCAGAAGGGGGGACUCUGCAGCCCCUCCAGACAUCCCUGCUACGAAGGUGGAAUAUCUUGAUUGUGCGUGGAUUUCGUUAUCACCCAGCCUCAGAAAACAGAUCAGAGUUGUCCUCCCCAAGAGGAGUAGGC